GACGAACGCUGGCGGCGUGCUUAACACAUGCAAGUCGAACGGAAAGGCCCUGCUUUUGUGGGGUGCUCGAGUGGCGAACGGGUGAGUAACACGUGAGUAACCUGCCCUUGACUUUGGGAUAACUUCAGGAAACUGGGGCUAAUACCGGAUAGGAGCUCCUGCUGCAUGGUGGGGGUUGGAAAGUUUCGGCGGUUGGGGAUGGACUCGCGGCUUAUCAGCUUGUUGGUGGGGUAGUGGCUUACCAAGGCUUUGACGGGUAGCCGGCAUGAGAGGGGGACCGGCCACAUUGGGACUGAGAUACGGACCAGACUCCUACGUGAGGCAGCAGUGGGGAAUAUUGCACAAUGGGCGGAAGCCUGAUGAAGCAACGCCGCGUGCGGGAUGACGGUCUUCGGGUUGUAAACCGCUUUCGCCUGUGACGAAGCGUGAGUGACGGUAAUGGGUAAAGAAGCACCGGCUAACUACGUG
RNAcentral lists this ribosomal RNA (468 nucleotides) under uncultured bacterium. Its description in RNAcentral is "partial 16S ribosomal RNA". It matches the Rfam family "Bacterial small subunit ribosomal RNA", at positions 28 to 507 of the family's 1533-position model. The record is from RNAcentral.